RNAcentral lists this ribosomal RNA (591 nucleotides) under Fusarium solani. RNAcentral's name for it is "eukaryotic LSU rRNA". The stretch from base 206 to 359 matches the Rfam family "5.8S ribosomal RNA". The record is from RNAcentral. Lineage: Eukaryota; Fungi; Ascomycota; Sordariomycetes; Hypocreales; Nectriaceae.
UGGAAGUAAAAGUCGUAACAAGGUCUCCGUUGGUGAACCAGCGGAGGGAUCAUUACCGAGUUAUACAACUCAUCAACCCUGUGAACAUACCUAAAACGUUGCUUCGGCGGGAACAGACGGCCCUGUAACAACGGGCCGCCCCCGCCAGAGGACCCCUAACUCUGUUUUUAUAAUGUUUUUCUGAGUAAACAAGCAAAUAAAUUAAAACUUUCAACAACGGAUCUCUUGGCUCUGGCAUCGAUGAAGAACGCAGCGAAAUGCGAUAAGUAAUGUGAAUUGCAGAAUUCAGUGAAUCAUCGAAUCUUUGAACGCACAUUGCGCCCGCCAGUAUUCUGGCGGGCAUGCCUGUUCGAGCGUCAUUACAACCCUCAGGCCCCCGGGCCUGGCGUUGGGGAUCGGCGGAAGCCCCCUGUGGGCACACGCCGUCCCUCAAAUACAGUGGCGGUCCCGCCGCAGCUUCCAUUGCGUAGUAGCUAACACCUCGCAACUGGAGAGCGGCGCGGCCAUGCCGUAAAACACCCAACUUCUGAAUGUUGACCUCGAAUCAGGUAGGAAUACCCGCUGAACUUAAGCAUAUCAAUAAGCGGAGGA